Non-coding RNA from Nephila pilipes (giant wood spider), 73 nucleotides. NCBI's taxonomy places the organism in Eukaryota, Metazoa, Arthropoda, Arachnida, Araneae, Nephilidae. The record is from the annotation of a GenBank genome assembly.
GCCAAAAUAGCUCAAUCGUUAGAGCGUUAAACUAAUAAUCUAAAUAUCACUUGUUCGAUCCCGGUUUUCGGCU